GUCGAAGGUGGGGCUGAUGACUGGGGUGAAGUCGUAACAAGGUAGCCGUACCGGAAGGUGCGGCUGGAUCACCUCCUAACAGGGAGACAAACAACGAUUUUGAUGUCUGAGUUUUUUUAUUCUUAGGCCAAAAUCCUGUCACCUUAGGUCGAUCGGUACCUCAACUUUGAAGCUAAGAGUAUUCAGCAAUGGAUAUCUGCUUAGUGGAGAUUUUUAGUUCCUAAACUUUGUCUAGUUCACAACCCAUUAGGGAUGAGACUCCUGGGCCAUUAGCUCAGGUGGUUAGAGCGCACCCCUGAUAAGGGUGAGGUCCCUGGUUCAAGUCCAGGAUGGCCCAUUCGGUGUAGGGGGUUUAGCUCAGUUGGUAGAGCGCCUGCUUUGCAAGCAGGAUGUCAGGAGUUCGAGUCUCCUAACCUCCACUGACUACCAAAAUCCCCAUCUCCAAAACCUGGAGUAUGAACUCGUAUGGAUUGUGAUUUAGAUGUGUCCGCUAGAUGACCCUAGCUUCUUGUCAUUUUAAGGCAUGGAAAUAGUUCCAUGAUAUUUAAUUGAUAGGAUGCUGGGCUCGACUCAAUGUAUUGAGAGAUCAAUGCAUUGUUUUGAUGUCUGGUCGAACCUUGACAACUGCAUAGUAAGUCUGGAAAGAAUAAAGCAUCUUUAUGGAUGCAUCAUUCUUGAGUGUUAAUUCACGAUGGGAUGGUGUUAAUUCUAAAGCAAGAGCCGAGACUCCAGCAUGUUCUUUCAAAUGUGUCGAGCAUUUGAGAGUUUGAUUUUAAUUUCUAUUUUUAGAAGUUAGAAGAAUCUGUUUCAACGACAGCAAGCGUGUUGGAGAUACAUUGGUCAAGCUACAAAGGGCUCA
RNAcentral lists this unclassified non-coding RNA (859 nucleotides) under uncultured Synechococcus sp. RNAcentral describes it as "partial may contain 16S ribosomal RNA, 16S-23S ribosomal RNA intergenic spacer, and 23S ribosomal RNA". The stretch from base 347 to 419 matches the Rfam family "tRNA". The record is from RNAcentral. Lineage: Bacteria; Bacillati; Cyanobacteriota; Cyanophyceae; Synechococcales; Synechococcaceae.